Molecule: non-coding RNA, 31 nt
Filed under: Rattus norvegicus (Norway rat)
Lineage: Eukaryota; Metazoa; Chordata; Mammalia; Rodentia; Muridae
Source: RNAcentral
UCCAGUUGGUAGCCAUGGUGACACAUGCCAU